CUGGGUAAAGUGAAUGGUUAACACACUUGGCUGCUAACCAAAAAAUUGGAGGUUCAAGUCUACCCAAA
This 68-nucleotide transfer RNA is filed under the name Loxodonta africana (African savanna elephant). It matches the Rfam family "tRNA". Rfam says of the family: Transfer RNA (tRNA) molecules are approximately 80 nucleotides in length. Their secondary structure includes four short double-helical elements and three loops (D, anti-codon, and T loops). The record is from Rfam by way of RNAcentral. Lineage: Eukaryota; Metazoa; Chordata; Mammalia; Proboscidea; Elephantidae.